This 662-nucleotide ribosomal RNA is filed under the name uncultured Chlorophyta. RNAcentral describes it as "bacterial SSU rRNA". It matches the Rfam family "Eukaryotic small subunit ribosomal RNA", at positions 1139 to 1797 of the family's 1831-position model. The record is from RNAcentral. Lineage: Eukaryota; Viridiplantae; Chlorophyta.
GAAACUUAAAGGAAUUGACGGAAGGGCACCACCGGCGGGGGGGCUGCGGCUUAAUUUGACUCAACACGGGGAAAACUUACCAGGUCCAGACAUAGUGAGGAUUGACAGGUUGAGAGGUCUUUCUUGAUUCUAUGGGUGGUGGGGCAUGGCCGUUCUUAGUUGGUGGGUUGCCUUGUCAGGUUGGUUCCGGUAACGAAACGAAGACCUCAGCCUGCUAAAUAGUCACGUUCGGCUUUUUGCCGGACGGCAGCCGCUUCUUAGAGGGGCUAUUCGGCGGCUAGCCGAUGGGAGUGUGAGGGCAAUUAACCAGGUCUGGGGAUGCCCCUUAGAUGUUUUUUGGCCCGCCCGCGCGGCUACCCCUGACGCAAUCAAACGAGGCCCCGCCUUGGUCGAGGAGGCCCCGGGGUAAUCUUGGUAAACUGCGUCGUGAUGGGGCUAGACUCUUGCAAAUUUUAGUCUUUCAACGAGGGAUGCCUAGUAAAGCGCGAGUCAUCAGCUCGCGUUGAUUACGUCCCUGCCCCUUUGUACCCCCCCCCCCUCGCUCCUACCGAUUGGAUGUGCUGGUGAGGCCCUAGGACUGGCGGCCUUUGGCGGUUCUCCGCCGACGGUCGCCGGGAAUUCGGUUAAACCCUCCCAUCUAGAGGAAGGAGAAGUCGUAACAA